Dalotia coriaria is the source of this 589-nucleotide long non-coding RNA. RefSeq lists it as uncharacterized. The record is from RefSeq and is a predicted model, not a curated record. NCBI's taxonomy places the organism in Eukaryota, Metazoa, Arthropoda, Insecta, Coleoptera, Staphylinidae. The transcript is spliced from 2 exons.
GUUGGUUUUGUUAUUUUUGCGUUUUGUUGAUUUUUACUUUGCUUACAAUUCAUGUAUGUUGGGUUGCAUACAGUUUUUUUAGAAUACAAACCCAACAACUGCAUUUUUACAUAAAUAACCUCAAAAUACAACAAAAAAGUUGAAUUUCGACCCCGAAGCAAAGGAUUAUUUAUCGUCCUGGAAUCAAUUAAAUCCGAACGCAACCGAAACGUCAAAUGAUAAAUAACGUCAAUAAACGUAGACGGAGGUUGGCUAACCUGCCGGGAAUGCUCAGCAAAGGACACACAAGCCGGCGGACAUUUGAUGCGAAUCGGUUACCCAGCAAAAUCGAAACUUAAUUUAUGUAGAUAACUUCUGCGUGCUAGUUUAUGCGCAAGGAAAUUGUAAGGAUUCGCUCGGUUGCGGCAUCGUUUCGCGUUUCAAACGCGGAUCUGGAUCGCAAGUCGCUGCGAGCAUUUUCAAGGUGCUCCUUCAAUGAAGAAGACAAAGUCUAUUUGCUAGAUAUCGCCCAAAGCGUACAGCGUGCUUCUAAUUUCUAAAUGCGAUUUGGAUGAGCAUUUUAUCUUGACUUGACUCGAAUGCACGAGAA